RNAcentral lists this ribosomal RNA (946 nucleotides) under uncultured bacterium. RNAcentral describes it as "bacterial SSU rRNA". It matches the Rfam family "Bacterial small subunit ribosomal RNA", at positions 47 to 979 of the family's 1533-position model. The record is from RNAcentral.
AUUCGGACGUCCUNCAGUCGAGCGNACAGAAGGGAGCUUGCUCCCGNAUGUUAGCGGCGGACGGGUGAGNAACACGUGGGUAACCUGCCUGUAAGACUGGGAUAACUCCGGGAAACCGGAGCUAAUACCGGAUAGUUCCUUGAACCGCAUGGUUCAAGGAUGAAAGACGGUUUCGGCUGUCACUUACAGAUGGACCCGCGGCGCAUUAGCUAGUUGGUGAGGUAACGGCUCACCAAGGCGACGAUGCGUAGCCGACCUGAGAGGGUGAUCGGCCACACUGGGACUGAGACACGGCCCAGACUCCUACGGGAGGCAGCAGUAGGGAAUCUUCCGCAAUGGACGAAAGUCUGACGGAGCAACGCCGCGUGAGUGAUGAAGGUUUUCGGAUCGUAAAGCUCUGUUGUUAGGGAAGAACAAGUGCAAGAGUAACUGCUUGCACCUUGACGGUACCUAACCAGAAAGCCACGGCUAACUACGUGCCAGCAGCCGCGGUAAUACGUAGGUGGCAAGCGUUGUCCGGAAUUAUUGGGCGUAAAGGGCUCGCAGGCGGUUUCUUAAGUCUGAUGUGAAAGCCCCCGGCUCAACCGGGGAGGGUCAUUGGAAACUGGGAAACUUGAGUGCAGAAGAGGAGAGUGGAAUUCCACGUGUAGCGGUGAAAUGCGUAGAGAUGUGGAGGAACACCAGUGGCGAAGGCGACUCUCUGGUCUGUAACUGACGCUGAGGAGCGAAAGCGUGGGGAGCGAACAGGAUUAGAUACCCUGGUAGUCCACGCCGUAAACGAUGAGUGCUAAGUGUUAGGGGGUUUCCGCCCCUUAGUGCUGCAGCUAACGCAUUAAGCACUCCGCCUGGGGAGUACGGUCGCAAGACUGAAACUCAAGGAUUGACGGGGCCCGCACAAGCGGUGGAGCAUGUGGUUAAUUCGAAGCNACNCGANACCUUACCAGGU